This 420-nucleotide ribosomal RNA is filed under the name uncultured bacterium. RNAcentral's name for it is "bacterial SSU rRNA". It matches the Rfam family "Bacterial small subunit ribosomal RNA", at positions 29 to 496 of the family's 1533-position model. The record is from RNAcentral.
AGCGAACGCUGGCGGCAGGCCUAACACAUGCAAGUCGAACGGAUCCUUCGGGAUUAGUGGCGGACGGGUGAGUAACACGUGGGAACGUGCCCUUUGGUUCGGAACAACUCAGGGAAACUUGAGCUAAUACCGGAUGUGCCCUUCGGGGAAAGAUUAUCGCCAUUGGAGCGGCCCGCGUCUGAUUAGCUAGUUGGUGGGGUAAAGGCCCACCAAGGCGACGAUCAGUAGCUGGUCUGAGAGGAUGAUCAGCCACAUUGGGACUGAGACACGGCCCAAACUCCUACGGGAGGCAGCAGUGGGGAAUCUUGCGCAAUGGGCGAAAGCCUGACGCAGCCAUGCCGCGUGAAUGAUGAAGGUCUUAGGAUUGUAAAAUUCUUUCACCGGGGACGAUAAUGACGGUACCCGGAGAAGAAGCCCUGG